This is a non-coding RNA of Paramuricea clavata, 484 nucleotides long. NCBI's taxonomy places the organism in Eukaryota, Metazoa, Cnidaria, Anthozoa, Malacalcyonacea, Plexauridae. The record is from the annotation of a GenBank genome assembly.
CUCCUACAAUAUCGAGAUGCCCAAAAUCCUCACAUUCAAAAAUUGAACAUACUUACACGACGUAUAUAUGCUUUCUCAACACCAGUAAGUGCCAAUGUUGCGGACUGCCCUGCUUUGAUAUGGCGACAUGGAACUCGAUUGCGACGUAUUGACAUAACUUUACUUUUAUAGAAUUGUCCAUGUUCAGACGGUCCUAACAUCAUAACAUCACCUUCGCGUAUCAAUCCCCUGAAAUAAGAAUGAGUCGUGGAAGAUGUUUCAAAGUGCACAAUUAGAUUGAUCACAGUUAAUAGAAUACAUGGUUUGGAGAUUCGAUGAAAGUACAAUAUAACUCAUUAACUAUGUUGGUUUCGGUUUAUGUCACGUGUGUAUUGUAUUUUUUCCCGCACAACCAAUAGCAAUGUUUAAACUGAGCAUUUGUUCAAGUUACGGAUGGAUAACUCAACCACAAACUUGUUAUUGGUUAGUUUGAGCGAAAAUACAA